UUUGCUUCAGUAAGGAAAUAUUAUUUUACUUACCACUGUUGACCCAUGUGAUCGCUGCACCUGGUUCAUAAUUCUCUCUGUGAGCCCUGACAAUAAUAUCAUUGAGUCUCUCUCAAUUUAAUUCUACUUCCAGGAAUUCCAAAUCAAACUCCGCUUCUGAAUUCUGGGGUUCUUUUUUUUUUCAAAUUUAAAUUCCAAUUCAUUAAUUUAUUUUGGAAUCGAUUAAAAUCAAAUUGACCAUAGCCUUAUUUCACUGAAGCCAUAAUUUGCUAUAUAAUUAACCACACCUGUAGAAUUAGAAACUUGCAAGAAUUUAUUUUUAUUUGUUCAUUAAAGUCCUGAGCAUUCACAAUAGAUUGCUGGAUGUUAUUUUAAAUUAACAGGAAACUUUGUUUCCCAAGUAAAGCACUAGUUCUUUUGGCAGUGUCAUGCCAUAGACUCCAGAAUGGAAUCCUGACUAUGCCAACACUGACUAAAUGCAGAGAAUGCUAGAACACUGUGGUUAAAGUUUCCCACUGCAUUACCCGGUAAUGUCUAGGUGAUGGGAGGGGAAAGACACAUGGAAACAACAUCAAUGCAUUUUUUUAAUACUGAACAAAUGAAUAAAUCAGCCACUGAAGAAUGCUUCACAGAGCACUCCAAAUAAGCACUGGUGUUCAUGCAAAACAGGAGUUUGUACUUCAUGAACUCCAUCUGAACCCCACAUUUGUAAUGAUGUUGCAUUUCA
Anguilla rostrata (American eel) is the source of this 727-nucleotide long non-coding RNA. RefSeq lists it as uncharacterized. The record is from RefSeq and is a predicted model, not a curated record. NCBI's taxonomy places the organism in Eukaryota, Metazoa, Chordata, Actinopteri, Anguilliformes, Anguillidae. The transcript is spliced from 2 exons.